Molecule: long non-coding RNA, 984 nt
Filed under: Olea europaea (common olive)
Lineage: Eukaryota; Viridiplantae; Streptophyta; Magnoliopsida; Lamiales; Oleaceae
Description: long non-coding RNA (OEUR_LNC000879)
Source: RNAcentral
CAAUGGUUAGGAAUCUUCCGUGUGUUAGAAAUGUUUGUCUGAUUCAUACCGUGGGUUAGGACAAAUGCUUAUAACACAAAUAUAUAUUUUUCAGUUUAAAAAUAUAAAAAUAAACAUUCAUGUAUCUUUCCUGCCGGUUCAAAAGAAUAUAAGAUUCUUCUUGAAUUAACUAGCUUCUCCACAUAUAUUACAAAAUUAGAUUUAGACUGAAAUUGGAAUAGUUUCAAAAUUUAUAUAUAGUGCGGCAAUUAUAAAUAGUGUUAUUUAAUUGGAUCAUAUAAGCUCCCAUUAGAUUUAGCUUUAAAGUUCUAAACAUUAUCAUAAAUAUUUUUAUUGGAGAAUAUUAAAAGUUAAAUAUUUUUAAGUAUAUUGGGAUAAAUUGAACUAGAGAAGUUAGUGUAUAGAUACAUACGUGAGUGAGUGUAUGGAAAACGAAGGGAAGUCAGAGACCAAACAACUGCUAAAGCUUGAAGAAAAACAAAGGGAAGUGAGAGACAAAACAACCAAAUCUAGAAAAUAUUUAGCCUUUAAAGAGAAGCCAGUAGUCCAACUUUCUAAAACAACGCAAAACAAUUACAUAGUUGAGCAGAGACACCUUACCUUCCAUACAAAAUUCGAUGAAGGCGAAGGCGACGAGAAGCCCAUUGGCAUCUGCAAUACGAUCAAUGGCGAAGUUUGUGUAUACAUACAUACAUGUGUGCGUGUGUAAUAAGAAGGCAUUAGGGUUUGGAAGGAGUAAUCCAAGGUUUUCUUUAGUCGGUCGAGAGAAGAAUGAGUUGUAGGCUUUUCUCUUAUGGUGGAGAUUGUCGAGAGAAGAGGGAGUUGUAGGGUUUUCUUUUGUGGUGGAAAGAGAAAAAAUUUUGUUUCAUUAGGAGAUAUGUGCACAGUAGCAAAACCAAAUCAGAAAAGGAUAAAUAUGAAAACUCAUGUGACAAAAAUGAACAGUGUUUUGAAGUCUCUACUUUAAAAGAGUAGAUAUUUGAG